CGGACACAGCAUCUUUAUUUGUAUGUGGUACUGAGAAUCGAUCCCAGGCCGCACGCAUGCCAGGCGAGCGCGCUACCGCUUGAGCCACAUCCCCAGCCCCAGAUAGAUUUUAAUUUAGCUAUCCUUACUGCUUUACUUUAAACUGUACCCCCUGGACAUGGUGGUGGUCUCCUAUAACUCCAAUAACUUGGGAAACUGAGGCAGGAGGAUCAUAAAGUCAAGGCCAGCCUCAGCAAUUUAGGCAGACCCUCUCUCAGAAACAGUCUGGGGAUGUGUCUUAGUGGUUCAGUACUAAGGGUUUUGUCCCUCCUACCAAAAAGAUAAAUAAAAAUAAGCCACUCAUUUUACAUAAAAGCAAAAUAAGGUGAUUUAUUUUCAUAGAACUGUGUUCUAAGAGACUUAUAUUCUCAUUCUGUGCUUUUGACAAUGUUAUAUACCAGUCCAGUAAUUCUUAGCUUAUUUCAUACUUUUUAAGUUUUCUAGAAGUGGUAGGUAGUCAUGUAAUUCAUUCCUCGGCAGGGAUUUGUCUUUAUCGUUCACUGCUCUGUAUAUAUCCCUGUGAAGUAGGACAGUGCCUGGCACAUAAUAAGCACUUACUGAAUGAAUGUAAAAUAUUAGUUUAUAAAUAUACUCAUUUAGCAACCAUGGUACCCAUCAUGCUUAUUGAAGGGCUUCAAAAGACAUCACUAACCCACAGUUUAAGCCACAUUGAAGUACAUCUAAAAUAAGGUCUAGUGAUUAUACCUUAACUUACCCCGUAAGUGUCCAAAAGUUUCUCAGAAAAUCUUAGAAUCAGUCCUGAUUCUAAGAAAAAGUAAUCCUUUCAGGCUAUUUUUGAAUAGAGGUGAGUCAUGGUGACAUGGCAGCCAUUCCCAUUUAUUGGAGCUAACUUAAAGGGGUGGUAGGAAGUGACAGAUGGUUUUGCUUCAACUACCCCAACACUGUUCUUAGCCCUUCCUUUAUUUUAGUCUACCUGAUGAAAAUUCUCUUCUUAAGCUUGCUUCAUAGACUUAGAAAUUAGGCUUAUAAUUCUCAAUGGGAUCUAGUUCAAGGCUAUCUCAUGCAUUGUUAGUGACUGGUAAUUGACCAUUAAUUUGAUGGUAAUUACACUAGGUAUAAAGUUGUUUACAUUCCAGAGGAACUAGCUAAUCUCUACUCCCACCCCAGUCUAGACUGAAACAGGGACUGACUAAAACACAUCGGAUUCAAGCUAAGCCAUUUCUUGAUGCUAUUGAAUGCUACUCUUUAGGUUAUCUUAGUGUAUUAUUUAUAAACAUUUUUUUCCAGUCCUGCCUACAAAUAUUUUCGGUAGGUAUUAGUUUUCUUGCCUACCUCUAUAACCAAGGAGAGGACUUACUCUGAAAGGUGAGUAAUAGAAGGAGCAAGGUUUGUUUCCUAUUUGUAAUUGCCAGGUUUUCACAUCUGUACAGUUAUAUAUCUCACCUUUUGUAAAUAGAAUUUACUAGAAAAAUGGCAUAUUUUACUAAAUGAGUUGGAUUCGUGUCAACAUUUUUCUUUUAGCAUCCUUUAGGCAGCAAGCAGUUCUCUGAGUUGUUAAAUGCCCACAUCCUGUUUUCUCAGUGUAAUAUGUUUAAAAU
This 1598-nucleotide long non-coding RNA is filed under the name Marmota monax (woodchuck). Lineage: Eukaryota; Metazoa; Chordata; Mammalia; Rodentia; Sciuridae. The record is from RNAcentral.